UUCAUGGAGAGUUUGAUCCUGGCUCAGGACGAACGCUGGCGGCGUGCCUAAUACAUGCAAGUCGAGCGGACCGACGGGAGCUUGCUCCCUUAGGUCAGCGGCGGACGGGUGAGUAACACGUGGGUAACCUGCCUGUAAGACUGGGAUAACUCCGGGAAACCGGGGCUAAUACCGGAUG
This 178-nucleotide ribosomal RNA is filed under the name Bacillus swezeyi. RNAcentral describes it as "partial 16S ribosomal RNA". It matches the Rfam family "Bacterial small subunit ribosomal RNA", at positions 1 to 175 of the family's 1533-position model. Lineage: Bacteria; Bacillati; Bacillota; Bacilli; Caryophanales; Bacillaceae. The record is from RNAcentral.